RNAcentral lists this ribosomal RNA (253 nucleotides) under uncultured bacterium. Its description in RNAcentral is "partial 16S ribosomal RNA". It matches the Rfam family "Bacterial small subunit ribosomal RNA", at positions 524 to 776 of the family's 1533-position model. The record is from RNAcentral.
UACGGAGGGUGCAAGCGUUAUCCGGAUUCACUGGGUUUAAAGGGUGCGUAGGUGGGCAGGUAAGUCAGUGGUGAAAUCCCCGAGCUUAACUUGGGAACUGCCAUUGAUACUAUUUGUCUUGAAUACUGUGGAGGUUAGCGGAAUAUGUCAUGUAGCGGUGAAAUGCUUAGAUAUGACAUAGAACAUCAAUUGCGAAGGCAGCUGGCUACACAAAUAUUGACACUGAGGCACGAAAGCGUGGGGAUCAAACAGG